ACUCCUACGGGAGGCAGCAGUGGGGAAUAUUGGACAAUGGGGGCAACCCUGAUCCAGCCAUGCCGCGUGAGUGAAGAAGGCCCUAGGGUCGUAAAGCUCUUUCAACUGUGAAGAUAAUGAAGCGGUGAGCAGUAGAAGAAACCCCGGCUAACUCCGUGCCAGCAGCCGCGGUAAUACGAGGGGUUAGCGUUGUUCGGAAUUACUGGGCGUAAAGCGCACGUAGGCGGACUAUUAAGUUAGAGGUGAAAUCCCAGGGCUCAACCCUGGAACUGCCUUUAAUACUGGUAGUCUUGAGUUCGAGAGAGGUGAGUGGAAUUCCGAGUGUAGAGGUGAAAUUCGUAGAUAUUCGGAGGAACACCAGUGGCGAAGGCGGCUCACUGGCUCGAUACUGACGC
RNAcentral lists this ribosomal RNA (395 nucleotides) under uncultured bacterium. Its description in RNAcentral is "bacterial SSU rRNA". It matches the Rfam family "Bacterial small subunit ribosomal RNA", at positions 335 to 746 of the family's 1533-position model. The record is from RNAcentral.